GACACGGGCGGCGUGCUAUAAUGCAGUCGAGCGGACAGAAGGGAGCUUGCUCCCGGAUGUUAGCGGCGGACGGGUGAGUAACACGUGGGUAACCUGCCUGUAAGACUGGGAUAACUCCGGGAAACCGGAGCUAAUACCGGAUAGUUCCUUGAACCGCAUGGUUCAAGGAUGAAAGACGGUUUCGGCUGUCACUUACAGAUGGACCCGCGGCGCAUUAGCUAGUUGGUGGGGUAAUGGCUCACCAAGGCGACGAUGCGUAGCCGACCUGAGAGGGUGAUCGGCCACACUGGGACUGAGACACGGCCCAGACUCCUACGGGAGGCAGCAGUAGGGAAUCUUCCGCAAUGGACGAAAGUCUGACGGAGCAACGCCGCGUGAGUGAUGAAGGUUUUCGGAUCGUAAAGCUCUGUUGUUAGGGAAGAACAAGUGCGAGAGUAACUGCUCGCACCUUGACGGUACCUAACCAGAAAGCCACGGCUAACUACGUGCCAGCAGCCGCGGUAAUACGUAGGUGGCAAGCGUUGUCCGGAAUUAUUGGGCGUAAAGGGCUCGCAGGCGGUUUCUUAAGUCUGAUGUGAAAGCCCCCGGCUCAACCGGGGAGGGUCAUUGGAAACUGGGAAACUUGAGUGCAGAAGAGGAGAGUGGAAUUCCACGUGUAGCGGUGAAAUGCGUAGAGAUGUGGAGGAACACCAGUGGCGAAGGCGACUCUCUGGUCUGUAACUGACGCUGAGGAGCGAAAGCGUGGGGAGCGAACAGGAUUAGAUACCCUGGUAGUCCACGCCGUAAACGAUGAGUGCUAAGUGUUAGGGGGUUUCCGCCCCUUAGUGCUGCAGCUAACGCAUUAACACUCCGCCUGGGGAGUACGGUCGCAAGACUGAAACUCAAAGGAAUUGACGGGGGCCCGCACAAGCGGUGAGCAUGUGGUUUAAUUCCAAGCAACACAAUAACCUUACCAUGUCUUGACAUCCUCUGACAUCACUAUAGAUAGGGCUUCGCUUUCAGGGAACGAGUGACAGGUGGUGCAUGGUUUGUCUCAGCUCAGUGUCGUGAAAUGUG
RNAcentral lists this ribosomal RNA (1056 nucleotides) under Bacillus safensis. RNAcentral describes it as "bacterial SSU rRNA". It matches the Rfam family "Bacterial small subunit ribosomal RNA", at positions 32 to 1076 of the family's 1533-position model. The record is from RNAcentral. Lineage: Bacteria; Bacillati; Bacillota; Bacilli; Caryophanales; Bacillaceae.